GUUCAGGGGUAAACCUGAGAAACCCGAAAGGUCGAAAGAGGAAAUUCAUUCGCGUCUCGACUGUCGAAGUUGAACGUUUGCAAGACGGAUAUUGCUUCGGCAUCGUCCGCUCUUACGUUCAUCGUGUCGAUGUCGAACGCGUGCACUUUUCCUCUAGUAGGACGUCGCGAUCCGUUGGGUGUCUGUCUAAGACUCGAGGUGGAGCCCGCGUAAUUUUUAAUUAUGCGGACCCUCGGUGUUCCGACAGACUCGCUCGACGGUAUACUAAUGGCGCGGGGCCGCUACAUAAGUUAGCGUUCGGCCCGUAUCAAGCACGUUCUGUGUUUGACGGCGAUCGGACCUGGUGCCGAUUCUGUCCCAGAACGACUGUUGGUUACGGUGUUCUCGAACAGACCUCGUAUGAAACGCCGAUCGGCGACGCUCUAGAUUUGGGUACUUUCAGGACCCGUCUUGAAACACGGACCAAGGAGUCUAGCAUGUGCGCGAGUCAUUGGGAUAUAACUAAACCUAAAGGCGUAAUGAAAGUAAAGGUUUACCUUGCGUAGACCGAGGGAGGAUAARCGGUUUG
Molecule: ribosomal RNA, 568 nt
Filed under: Acalymma trivittatum
Lineage: Eukaryota; Metazoa; Arthropoda; Insecta; Coleoptera; Chrysomelidae
Description: eukaryotic LSU rRNA
Rfam family: Eukaryotic large subunit ribosomal RNA
Source: RNAcentral